AAGCAGCGCGUCAUGGUUUUC
This 21-nucleotide microRNA is filed under the name Danio rerio (zebrafish). RNAcentral's name for it is "dre-miR-15c". Its record names the gene dre-miR-15c. RNAcentral also lists the same sequence under 1 other name. Lineage: Eukaryota; Metazoa; Chordata; Actinopteri; Cypriniformes; Danionidae. The record is from miRBase by way of RNAcentral.